GGGAAAUUUAGGGGCUGUUAUACUAAGUCAUGAGGUGUCAUUACUGGAUGUGAAGCUUUGGUAGAGUUGAUACCUUCGUUAAGUUUGAAGGAUAGAUGGAUAAAUAAAUCUUCAUUUUUGCAAAGGGGGUGCGGAUGCUGAAAUUCAGCAUAGGAGUCAGCACAUAAGCGAAGUAAAGACUCAUUCUGUUCUUGAAAGUCAAAUGGAGCUUCUGCUAAGGAGAAUAGCUUAGGUACUGAACAAGGUUCAACAACACACAUUUCUUGGGAAAAUAUAUUUUCCUGAGAAAAUUAUUAUUUAUGAGGGAAUAGUAUUGUUUGGUUCAAUUUUAUUUCCUAUUAAAUAUCAUUUCCAUAUUUACUUCACUCGCUAAUUUUGUAUUUACCCAUGAGAUUACAGUCAUUAAAGAACAAAUUAAGAGUGACAGAGUGAGCAUAAACAUGACUGAGAUUAUACUGCGGAGAACGUGAGAAAGAGAGAGAGAGUAGAAAGGACCUCGAAGGUUGGAGUCUUAGAGAUGUGUUGAGAAUCUAGAAGUGAAAGCGAUCUUUGAGGUUGGAAUUGAGAUUGUGAAGAUGAAGACGUCAACAUUGCAAUAGCUAUUGGGUUCUUCUUGCUGCAUUUUGUUACUGAGAUUCUUCUUCUUC
This 647-nucleotide unclassified non-coding RNA is filed under the name Hevea brasiliensis (rubber tree). The record is from RNAcentral. Lineage: Eukaryota; Viridiplantae; Streptophyta; Magnoliopsida; Malpighiales; Euphorbiaceae.